AUGGCCGAGGGCCGGCGCUACGGGAUCGCGCCGCAGCUAGACAUGGAGCAGAUACUGAAGGAGGCUCAGACCCGAUGGUUACGCCCUACUGAGAUUUGCGAAAUACUUAAGAAUUACAGGAAUUUCCGUAUAGCUCCAGAGCCACCAAAUAUGCCUGCAAGUGGUUCACUUUUCUUGUUUGAUCGGAAGGUAUUGAGAUUUUUUAGGAAGGAUGGCCAUAAUUGGAGGAAGAAAAAGGAUGGAAAGACUGUCAAAGAAGCCCAUGAAAGAUUAAAAUCUGGAAGCAUCGAUGUGCUUCAUUGCUACUAUGCUCAUGGGGAAGAGAAUAUAAACUUCCAGAGGAGGAGCUAUUGGAUGCUGGAGGAGGACUAUAUGCACAUUGUCCUUGUACAUUAUCUCGAAGUCAAGGCUGGAAAAUCAAGUUCUCGUACUAGGGGGCAUGAUAACAUGCUACAAGGGGCCUAUGUUGAUAGCCCUUUAAGCCACUUGCCUUCACAAAGUACAGACGGUGAAAGCUCACUUAGCGGACGCGCCUCUGAAUACGAGGCAGAAUCAGCAGAUAUUUAUUCGGGAGGAGCCGGAUACCACUCUAUCUCUAGGAUGCAGCAGCAUGAAAAUGGAGGUGGAUCCAUAAUUGAUGCUUCUGUUGUCAGCUCAUACAGUCCUGCAUCAUCUGUAGGUAAUCAUCAAGGAUUACAGGCUACAUCACCUAAUACGGGCUUCUAUUCUCAUUAUCAAGAUAACUCACCUGUGAUUCAUAACGAGUCCACUUUUGGAAUUACAUUCAAUGGGCCCAGUACUCAAUUUGACCUGUCAUCAUGGAAUGAAAUGACGAAACUGAAUAAAGAGAUCCAUCAAUUGCCUCCAUACCAGUCUCAUGUUCCUUCUGAGCAGCCUCCUUUUACAGAAGGCCCUGGAAUAGAAUCUUUCAGUUUUGAUGAAGUAUAUAGCAAUGGGCUGGAUAUCAAGGAUGAUGGUCAUGCAGACACUGAUAGAGAAGCACUGUGGCAGCUUCCAAGUGCUAAUGAUGGUACGACUACUGAAUUUCUUCAGCUUCCAAGUGCUAUUGAUGGCAGGACUACUGAAUUUCAGCUUCCAAGUGCUACUGAUAGUACAUUUGCUACAGUGGACAAUUUUGAACAACACAGUAAACUUUUGGAGGAAGCCAUUAAUUUCCCUGUCCUGAAAACUCAAUCAUCUAAUCUUUCUGAUAUCCUGAAGAACAGCUUUAAGAAAAGUGAUAGUUUUACUAGAUGGAUGAGCAAAGAACUUGCUGAAGUAGAUGAUUCCCAAGUAAAGUUCAGUUCUGGAUUGUACUGGAACAGUGAAGAUGCUGACAAUAUCAUUGGAGCAUCGAGCCGUGAUCAGUUGGAUCAGUUUACUCUGGACCCAAUGGUUGCACAAGAUCAGCUGUUUAGUAUAACUGAAUAUUUUCCAAGCUGGACAUAUGCAGGUUCGAAGACUAGGGUUCUUGUUACUGGUAGAUUCCUAACUUCUGACGAAGUUAUAAAGCUCAAGUGGUCGUGUAUGUUUGGAGAAGUCGAAGUUCCAGCAGAUAUUUUAGCAGACGGGACUCUCAGGUGCUAUUCUCCCUCGCACAAACCUGGCAGGGUCCCUUUUUAUGUGACUUGCUCCAACAGGUUAGCCUGCAGUGAAGUACGAGAGUUUGAAUAUCGACCAAGUGAUUCUCAAUACAUGGAUGCUCCAAGUCCACAUGGUGCUACAAACAAAAUAUAUCUCCAGGCGCGUCUUGAUGAAUUAUUGUCUUUGGGACGAGAUCAGCAAGAUGAGUUCCAGGCAGCUUUAUCUAACCCCACAAAGGAGUUGAUUGAUUUGAACAAGAAGAUAACCUCAUUGAUGACAAACAAUGAUCAGUGGUCUGAAUUGCUAAAGUUCGCUGAUGAUAAUCAGCUUGCCCCUGAUGAUAGGCAGGAUCAGUUUGUUGAAAGCGGUAUCAAAGAAAAGCUGCAUAUCUGGCUUCUCCAUAAAGCAGGAGGUGGUGGCAAAGGUCCCAGUGUGUUAGAUGAUGAAGGGCAGGGCAUUCUUCAUCUGGCAGCUGCUCUAGGAUAUGAUUGGGCGAUAAGGCCAACAAUAACUGCUGGUGUAAGCAUAAAUUUCAGAGAUGUUCAUGGAUGGACCGCACUUCACUGGGCAGCAUUUUGUGGCAGAGAGCGAACAGUUGUUGCUCUUAUAGCAUUAGGUGCGGCUCCUGGAGCUUUGACGGAUCCAAGGCCUGAUUUCCCUUCAGGACGCACACCAGCUGAUCUUGCGUCGUUCAAUGGGCACAAGGGAAUUUCUGGUUUCCUGGCAGAGUUUUCUUUAACAAGCCAUCUUCAAACCCUCAACCUGAAGGAAGCCAUGGGGAGCAAUGCAUCAGAGAUAUCUGGCCUACCUGGUAUUGGAGAUGUUACCGGAAGAACUGCGUCACCAUCAGCAGGUCAAGGUCUUCAGGCUGGAUCGAUGGGAGAUUCACUAGGUGCUGUGCGGAAUGCUGCCCAGGCUGCUGCUCGGAUAUAUCAAGUUUUCAGGGUGCAGUCCUUCCAGAGAAAGCAAGCAGUUCAGUAUGAGGAUGACAAUGGUGUGAUAUCAGAUGAACGUGCCAUGUCACUCUUGUCUUAUAAACCAUCUAAACCAGGACAGUUCGAUCCCAUGCAUGCUGCUGCAACUCGAAUACAAAACAAAUUCCGUGGAUGGAAGGGAAGAAAAGAAUUUUUGCUUAUUAGACAGCGAAUUGUCAAGAUCCAGGCUCAUGUGCGAGGUCACCAAGUGAGAAAGCAUUAUCGCAAAAUAAUUUGGUCUGUCGGGAUAGUGGAGAAGGUUAUAUUGCGAUGGAGGCGGCGAGGAGCUGGGUUACGCGGGUUUCGGUCUACAGAAGUUGCAACAGACAGCAGCACUAGUAGCAGCAGCGUUGAUGUAAUCCCAGUUAAACCUGCAGAGGAUGAUUAUAACUUCUUGCAAGAAGGACGGAAGCAAACUGAAGAAAGACUGCAGAGAGCUCUUGCCAGAGUGAAGUCCAUGGUUCAGUACCCCGAAGCCCGGGACCAGUAUCAGAGGAUUAUGACUGUCGUAACAAAAAUGCAGGAAUCGCAGCCUGUGGAAGAAAGUAUGCUUGAGGAGUCGACGGAGAUGGAUGAAGGCUUUUUGAUGAGUGAAUUCAAAGAGCUCUGGGACGAUGACAUGCCGUUGCCGGGCUAUUUCUAG
This 3201-nucleotide ribosomal RNA is filed under the name Triticum aestivum (bread wheat). RNAcentral's name for it is "partial small subunit ribosomal RNA". Lineage: Eukaryota; Viridiplantae; Streptophyta; Magnoliopsida; Poales; Poaceae. The record is from RNAcentral.